AUCGGGUCGCCGCUCUAUCGCUGGCCAUCAACCCUUCGGGGUCGAGGCGAGAGGAAAGUCCGGGCAACACAGAGUCCCAUACUUCCUAACGGGAAGGGGCAUAAUUCCGUAAGGGUUAUGUCACAGCAAAGUGCCACAGAAACAAUACCGCCAACGUUGGCUUCGUGCCAGCAGGGUAAGGGUGCAAACGCGAGGUAAGAGCUCACGACGACCUUCAGCAAUGAGGUCGAUGGUAAACCUUAUGGGUUGAAAGACCAAAUAUACCGGCAGUGAAAGGUUGACUCGCCUGUGUCGGGGGGGUAGGUUGAUUGAGGCAGUUGGUGACAGCUGUCCUAGAUUAAUGAUAGAGGCCCCUUUCAAGGGGUACAGAACCCGGCUUACAAGCGCCCGAUUUUU
This 396-nucleotide RNase P RNA is filed under the name Bacteroidales bacterium. Its description in RNAcentral is "RNase P RNA component class A". It matches the Rfam family "Bacterial RNase P class A". Rfam says of the family: Ribonuclease P (RNase P) is a ubiquitous endoribonuclease, found in archaea, bacteria and eukarya as well as chloroplasts and mitochondria. Its best characterised activity is the generation of mature 5'-ends of tRNAs by cleaving the 5'-leader elements of precursor-tRNAs. Lineage: Bacteria; Pseudomonadati; Bacteroidota; Bacteroidia; Bacteroidales. The record is from RNAcentral.